UACGGGGGGGGCAAGCGUUGUUCGGAAUUACUGGGCGUAAAGGGCUCGUAGGCGGCCAACUAAGUCAGACGUGAAAUCCCUCGGCUUAACCGGGGAACUGCGUCUGAUACUGGAUGGCUUGAGAUUGGGAGAGGGAUGCGGAAUUCCUGGUGUAGCGGUGAAAUGCGCAGAUAUCAGGAGGAACACCCGUGGCGAAAGCGGCUCUCUGGGACGGUACUGACGCUGAGACGCGAAAGCGUGGGGAGCAAACAGG
RNAcentral lists this ribosomal RNA (253 nucleotides) under uncultured bacterium. Its description in RNAcentral is "partial 16S ribosomal RNA". It matches the Rfam family "Bacterial small subunit ribosomal RNA", at positions 524 to 776 of the family's 1533-position model. The record is from RNAcentral.